GUGAAUCAUCAAAUUUUUGAACGCAAAUUGCACUCCCUGGUAUUCCGGGGAGUAUGCCUGUUUGAGGGUCGUUAGAAUAAAAAAUCGGGGUGGCGCGCUUUUUUUUAAGGGUGAGCGCGUCGGAAUUAAGCCGUCUUUCAAGUGUUAAUGCAUGAAAAUGUAGCUUAAAAUUCAUCCAUCCGGUAC
This 186-nucleotide unclassified non-coding RNA is filed under the name Glomeraceae sp. RNAcentral's name for it is "partial contains 5.8S ribosomal RNA and internal transcribed spacer 2". The stretch from base 1 to 71 matches the Rfam family "5.8S ribosomal RNA", at positions 84 to 154 of the family's 154-position model. Lineage: Eukaryota; Fungi; Glomeromycota; Glomeromycetes; Glomerales; Glomeraceae. The record is from RNAcentral.